GAGUUUGAUCCUGGCUCAGAACGAACGCUGGCGGCAGGCCUAACACAUGCAAGUCGAGCGCACUCUUCGGAGUGAGCGGCGGACGGGUUAGUAACGCGUGGGAACAUACCCUUUUCUACGGAAUAGCCUCGGGAAACUGAGAGUAAUACCGUAUACGCCCUUCGGGGAAAGAUUUAUCGGUGAAGGAUUGGCCCGCGUUUGAUUAGAUAGUUGGUGGGGUAAUGGCCUACCAAGUCUACGAUCAAUAGCUGGUUUGAGAGGAUGAUCAGCAACACUGGGACUGAGACACGGCCCAGACUCCUACGGGAGGCAGCAGUGGGGAAUCUUAGACAAUGGGCGCAAGCCUGAUCUAGCCAUGCCGCGUGAGUGACGAAGGCCUUAGGGUCGUAAAGCUCUUUCGCCAGAGAUGAUAAUGACAGUAUCUGGUAAAGAAACCCCGGCUAACUCCGUGCCAGCAGCCGCGGUAAUACGGAGGGGGUUAGCGUUGUUCGGAAUUACUGGGCGUAAAGCGUACGUAGGCGGAUUGGAAAGUAUGGGGUGAAAUCCCAGGGCUCAACCCUGGAACUGCCCUGUAAACUAUCAGUCUAGAGUUCGAGAGAGGUGAGUGGAAUUCCAAGUGUAGAGGUGAAAUUCGUAGAUAUUUGGAGGAACACCAGUGGCGAAGGCGGCUCACUGGCUCGAUACUGACGCUGAGGUACGAAAGUGUGGGGAGCAAACAGGAUUAGAUACCCUGGUAGUCCACACCGUAAACGAUGAAUGCCAGACGUCAGGGGGCUUGCCCUUUGGUGUCACACCUAACGGAUUAAGCAUUCCGCCUGGGGAGUACGGUCGCAAGAUUAAAACUCAAAGGAAUUGACG
This 858-nucleotide ribosomal RNA is filed under the name uncultured bacterium. RNAcentral's name for it is "bacterial SSU rRNA". It matches the Rfam family "Bacterial small subunit ribosomal RNA", at positions 9 to 915 of the family's 1533-position model. The record is from RNAcentral.